CGACGGCUUCAUCUUCGCCUCGCCGUCGCCGUCACCGUUGCCGCCUUCGCUCUCGUUCGCGGACGCGUUGCUCGGCUCGCGGUGCUUCUUGUGCACGUGAACCAGCAGGUGGCGCUUCAGCGUGGAGUAGUCGUUGAAGCAUUUGCCGCAGACGGUGCACGGAUACGGCUUUUCCCCCGUGUGGAUCCUGAUGUGUCGCAUCAUGUUGUGGCGGCAGUUGAAGGACUUCCCGCACUCGCUGCAGUUGAACGGUUUCUCCCCCGUGUGGAUCCGCAUGUGCGUCUGCAGAGAGCUCGACGCCCCAAAGCAUUUCCCGCAGACGCCGCAGACUUCGGCUUUCACGUGCGUCUUCAGGUGAGCCUGAAAUUCGUCCUCGGUCUCGGAGCGUUCCCCGCACACGCCGCAGACGUCCUUGGGGUGAACUUCCAUGUGGUUGACCAGAGAGACGUUGGCGUGGAAGGCCUUCCCGCAGACUUUACAGCAGAUCCGCGAUUUAGCUUUUUUGUUGGGGUGCAGCGUCGGCGCCAUCGGCAGACGAGGCCCCUUCUUCUUCUUACACUUGUGGUUGCUGUCGCUGUCGUCGCUCGGAGACCCCGCGCUGCCCCUCCACUCCUCGUCGCUGUCCUCGUGUUCGGGCGCGGAGCCGGAGGACGCCCCGUCGUCGCCAUCCACCUUCGCCUGCUCCUGCCCGGCCGAGGUGCUCGGCAGAGGAUCUCCUUCUCCUUUGGCGCUCUGGUAGCCGGACUGCAGCUGGUCCAGCUCGCUCUUCACGUACGGACCGGUGAAGAUGAACCUGAUGGUGUUGUCCUCGUCCAGCUCCUGAACCUGCUCCUCCUCUCGGCUGUUGGGGAGCUCCCGCAGGCUCUUCUCGGCGUGCGGGGGUUCCUGGUCGUCCUGGUCCUGACCGGAGCUCAACUCCUGAACGCAGUGUUGCUGAUCGGAGCCGAAGUCCUCGUCCCAGACGGAGAGGGCCAGCUGUGGUUGGUCUGCAAGACAACAACGAUCUUAAAGAACAGAAAACCAACUAGAAUACGUCAGACAAGGUUUUAUUAA
RNAcentral lists this long non-coding RNA (1053 nucleotides) under Dicentrarchus labrax (European seabass). RNAcentral's name for it is "lncRNA (ENSDLAG00005034469.1)". Lineage: Eukaryota; Metazoa; Chordata; Actinopteri; Moronidae. The record is from RNAcentral.